Molecule: long non-coding RNA, 4956 nt
Filed under: Macaca fascicularis (crab-eating macaque)
Lineage: Eukaryota; Metazoa; Chordata; Mammalia; Primates; Cercopithecidae
Description: lncRNA (ENSMFAG00000058095.1)
Source: RNAcentral
UUUUUUUUUUUUUUUUUUUCAGGAGGGCCAGUGUCCUAGCCUGAGGAGACGCCUGGUGGACACAGACUGCAGGGAGAGGGUUGAGAGUUGGCCUAGUGAAUCAGAGGGGUGACUGAGGGCCCAGAAGUUGCCACAUGAGCUCUGAUCAUCAUUCAUGGGUGCUGUCUGCCCAUCACCUGCAGGUACCCACCUUAACCAGAGCUUGGCUUGUGGCCUGCAACUUGGUGACAGGCCUUUGGCUGGGCAAAGUUUGGGCUGGUGCUUCAUAGUGGCAGGAGCAAUUAUAGCAGAGCAACCCAGGAUGGGUGGUCAUUGAAAAAUGGGUGUGAAGUCACUGAAAAAUCAGACCGAGUUUCAAGUUAUGCUCACAGUUGCUGAAAAAGCAAAAAUACGCCCUUAGAGCAGCAGAGCAGCAUGCGGCGGUCCACUUCCUCCUCCUGUGCAGAGCUUGCAGGCCCCUUCUAGCAUCUGUGCAUGGUGCGCAUGUGUCUGUGACAACAGAAAGGGCUGGUUUCUCUCACACAUUUCCCUGACGAUGGCAGGGGGGCUGCAGCAGUCACAGAAACUUCUGGAGAGACGUGUUUCUGUACAGUCAGGUGAAUUUGUUGGCAGGACAGCUCGGUGACGAUAUAAGAAGUACCGUUUCACUUUUUUUGUCAGAUGAACUUCCUUCUGCUAGUUUAGAAAAGCUUCACUCCAGAGAGGGCCACCUGGUAGAAGCUGUAUUACAGAAACUUUUAAUCCCUUUUCUAUGUCAGGGGAUGCUGAGAUAAACUGUCUAGAACAACAAGGAGAUGCUUCUGACUGUCACACCCAGGCCACUUCCGGCAGAGUGGUACAGAGCUGCCAGGGCGUGGCCAGCUGCUUUGCAUCUGCAUUCCUGUUUCAUGACCUUUUGUGUUGUGGGCCAACAGGAGUGCCACGUAGUGGGGGCUGGAGAUUUGGCCCGGCAGGAGGUGGGUACGUAGCUGUCUUCUCUGCAGAAUACCUGCACUGCUCCAUCUGACCAGCAGUGGCAACAGCCACACCCAGUUCUGCAUCUAGCUCCUGCCCAGACCUUUGGCUGCCAGAAUCUAGAACCAUGGCUGACCAAAGCGAGACUUCCGAGUAAGGUUAGUUCACAGGCAUCCUGCUGAAUUAGGAGACAGGAACUAAUCCGAAGUACACGGGGCUAAACUUCCCUCGAGGACAUUUCCUGAGCUGCAAGAUGGGAAGGGACAGCACUGAAGCUGGUGAGCUGGUGCAACUGCACACACCUUUUCUCUGUUUUUCAGUACUCACAGGUCAUCCUGGGGAGAUCUCUCAUGGGCCAUGGGCAGCCCAUGCCUGGAUUUUUUGGUGAAUGAGUCCAAAAAGCAGUGACCAGGUGGGGCUGAGGGCCUCCCCUUGCCUGCGCCUUUUUAUCUCUGAGUGACUGAGGGCUGCCAAGGCCAGACAAUGCACAUGUGUCCUGCAUCCUCCCCUCGCCUGGGGCAGCAGCAGCUGGGCUUGGGGUGAGUAGGCUGGCUUGAGGAAGGGGAUGCCCACAAGCAGGGCUCAUUUCCUGGGUCAGGGCCUGUCAGACUCAAAGUCAGCCCUCUAGCAUUCUGUUUAAAAAAUGAUGACGCAGUUCAGUGAGAAAGAAAGCUCAGGAUAAAAUGUGUUUUCUGGCGGGGAAAUACUCACGUGUUCUAAGCCAGGAACAGAGACUCUCAAGAGAGGCAUUCUCUGGCAUUCUCUGCCUUGGAUAAAUCAUGGAUUAAACAUGAGCAUCCUUAGAAUAAUUUUAUUUUUGUAUUUCACUUUACACUGUAAUGCAAACAGCUUUUAUGUUUUCUUUGACAAAGAAUCAUAAUUGAGUCACUUUCGGUCUUUUAGCUAGAAGCAUUUCACCCUAAAUGAAAAGUUAAUGCAUUUUUUACAAGGAUUAACAUGCUAACUACAACUUGCCCUUUCAGCAGAUGACAAUAGGGGUUCUGAAAAGUUUGGACAAAGUCUUUUUCUUUUUGCAUACAAAUAAAGCAGCAGAUCAUUUCUCUGAAGGUUGUUGCAGAGUUCCUGUACCAGCUUACAAAAUGAUGCUGUUUAAGUAGGCCUUGGGUGGGCAGCAGAAUUCUGCACGUGACGAGUGGCCUGCAGCUUAAAAAGCAAAUUUCAUCUGAUUCCAGUACCGUGAUUUUAAGGAAAUGGUAAAACUCAAAGUGCUGGUAAUGCCAUCAAGGCUCAACACACCAUUUCCUCAGCAGCUAAAGACAAAAAUAAUUAUUUUGGUGAGGGGAUAGAAGUCCUUUCGCUUUGCAGUGACACCCACUUUUUCUUGGCUUGGGAGUAAUGAGAUUGGGGUGUGAGGGGACAUUAAAAACUCAUUUAAGGCAAACUGAAAUCUCCUUCGUCAGCAUUCUUCCUGCUGGUGUAGCCAGAGCAGAACUCCGAGGCUUGCAGGCUGGGCUGUCUCCUUGCUGCCUGGCCUGGGUGUUUAUUUGGGCAACGCAAGCUGACGUCGUGAGGUGUUGCCGAUGCCCAGGCCAGCUAGCAGGGAGCCCUCCCAGGGUUGGUAGAAACCUAUGUGUAUAUGUAUUCUCAAAUUUAAAUAGAUUGUACAUAGUGAAAUGUAAAUGACAUGUAAAACAGCAAUCUCUAUUUUUCUUACUAUAUAGCAGUAUAUAUUUGUUAAACGUGCUUGUAUACUCUUCAUUAACCAUUUUAAUAUUUUGUACAGAUAAGUUGAUUAAAUAUUUGAUUCAUAAAACCGCUCAUGACUGGUCUCUAAAGGAAAACAUUUUCAGCUUUUGUUACUCAGCCUUUCUGUGUUACUAUAGUCCUCAACUCAUUAAUAGAAUAGCGGCCAGCUAUUGAGGCAUUAGGACUGACUGCAUUUUAACAUAGCAGCGGGAGUGACAUAGCAGGCCUGGCUCUACUUGCCUUUGUGCCGAUCAUUCCCUGCGAUCAUUCUCCUGUGUUGUCAGAUCAGGUGUAAGGCUGGGGCCCUCUGGCAUGGGGGGCCGCACCCUGGGUCUUGGUGACUGGUACGAAACUGCAUAGGAUGCUGCUGCACACAGCCUCACAUGGCAUGAAGUCACUGCACAGCAAGGUAAAAAACAUCAAGCCUGGGUUCAGGAAGGGAGGCCAAAAUGCAGUGGAAAACAUUUUCUCUUUGGGAAGUGAGCAUGAUAAUGUGUAGAGUGAGUGCUCUCAUUCCAAAUGCAGUUUGAGUGGACAGGUUUUCUGUGUUUAUACAUCUCAGGCUGCUGCGGGACCUGUCUCACUCCAGAAAGCAUGAGCCCUCCCCUCCUGGAGGCUGCACAGUUAAGUCUCUGAAAUCCCAAGGCAUAAAGUCCCUUGGAAGCCGCUUCCUCUGCAAGGCCCAUUACAUACUUCACAGAACCCAAUAAGGUCCUACAGCAAAUCUGACAGGGCCUUUUUUGCCCAGUACUCUUCGAGACAAGUACAAAAGCCUGUGCUCGGUGACACCACGAAGGAUGCAGCAGGACAGGAUCAACCACACAGCAUCUGUUGCUAUCCCAGCUCUUGCACCUGACUUUUGCCUACAGAUGAAGGAGAAAUCUAUUUAAUGUGUUCCUUAAAUAUUUCUGGGAGAAGACUAACGACAGAGCAGCAACUGUAGGAAGUUGACAAGGACUUAGCCUUAUUAGUGACUUGUUACCAGGAUUACCUCUUUUGGGAUAUGGAGCCUGCUGGAGUGACCCACCUUUUCGUCAGUGAUGGCAGCCCAUGUUCAUGGUGAAUCCAAUAGGCCACAGUUUGUUAAUGCAGGUUCCUAUGGUCAUGUGACUUUCUGGUGAAAGAUCAAGAAAGCCUGCUUUCUUUUCACUACUCCAUUUCAUAUUACUAAAUAAAGGAGUCUUUUUCUUUGGAAGAAAACUUGUGUUCCCCUUUCAACUAACUCAUUUGGCAGGUAAAAUAAAUGUGUAAGUUCUACGACCGUGUCAUUGAAAACUGGAAGGUCUUGUCAUGCUUUGUUUAUAAGCAUCUUUUUUCAUUUUCUUAUUUUUCAGUCUCCAUUUGACCUACCACAGCAUUCUGUGGUUAGAGUACACAUUCAGUAGAGUAGUAGUCACAGAGAGAAAGGAAAGUCGGGGAUGGCAUUUAAAAUUUUAUCUAAUUUCCCAGACACUGAUAAGAGCACAUCUAAAAGGCCUGUCCAUGACUAAUGGUAAAGGCGGCUAAGACUGACUUCUCCACUCCUUCCCUGGUCCUGUCAGGUCCUGGAUCUGCCUCUGAUGCCUGCUCAUUUCCAAGCAGGCCAAGGCAGAGAUGCCUCCAACUGCUGUUCCAUUGAUGGUGGUGCCCAACGUGGUCAUGGAUGCAUGUGUUCUUGUGCCCUAGGAACCCUGUGACUAUCUGCUCAGAAGGGACAAUGAUCUGGAGAGAAACUUGUCCACUGUGAUGUGCCACCAGCAUGCAGCCCUGUAGGCUGUGGGUGUUUGCCGAGUCCUAAUCACAUGCAGGUGCACAGCCCUUCGCAGUGGCCAGUAGUAGGAGGAAGCCCAGAUGUUCUGCAGAGCCUGAGCUGGGUGGAUUUGCAGAGGCGGGAUUCUAGUCCCUCUGUGAGGGAGGGAGACCCUGCAGGUGCACCGCGCCCCCUGACUGUAAUGGGCGCCCAGUCACAGGGUCACAUUCUCAUCCCAGGGAAGAGGAAUUUUCCCAUAGACUUACGCAGCAAGGAAAUCUAUCACUGUGUGGGGAGGUCAGCACAGGCCCCUUUGCCAGAAUGUUUGAGGAAUGCAACACAAAAUGAAAAUGCUCGAUUAUCCCAGAGCACAGUCAUGUGUAUUGUUGCUGUAAUUCCCAUUUGGGGUGCUGCGCGGGGUUAGUGCUCAACAAAUAAUAAACUACAUGUUUGGUAGUUGCUAAUACCCAAACUCCAGAGGUUUUCUAAUUGUAGAAGAAUGGAAGUAACAGUUGCAGCCGUAUCAGACAAGAUGAAUGGGACACAAGGGAUAGUGGCCUUGCUUC